AGAAAGGAAUGUCUGUUGCGCCCCUCUCAAUCCCUGAGACCCUAACUUGUGAUGUUUACCGUUUAAAUCCACGGGUUAGGCUCUUGGGAGCUGUGAGUUGUGCCUUUGCAUCUGGGAUAUUUGGUGGAACUUUUUUUUUUCUGUUUGUUU
This 150-nucleotide microRNA precursor is filed under the name Sarcophilus harrisii (Tasmanian devil). RNAcentral describes it as "microRNA sha-mir-125a precursor". Its record names the gene sha-mir-125a. The stretch from base 25 to 95 matches the Rfam family "lin-4 microRNA precursor family", at positions 1 to 71 of the family's 80-position model. The record is from miRBase by way of RNAcentral. Lineage: Eukaryota; Metazoa; Chordata; Mammalia; Dasyuromorphia; Dasyuridae.